Molecule: ribosomal RNA, 254 nt
Filed under: uncultured bacterium
Lineage: Bacteria
Description: partial 16S ribosomal RNA
Rfam family: Bacterial small subunit ribosomal RNA
Source: RNAcentral
UACGGGGGGAGCAAGCGUUGUUCGGAUUUACUGGGCGUAAAGGGCGCGUAGGCGGCCACCGCAAGUCAGUUGUGAAAGCUCUGGGCUUAACCCAGAAAGGUCAGCUGAUACUGCGGGGCUAGAGUGCAGAAGGGGCAACUGGAAUUCUCGGUGUAGCGGUGAAAUGCGUAGAUAUCGAGAGGAACACCUGCGGCGAAGGCGGGUUGCUGGGCUGACACUGACGCUGAAGUGCGAAAGCUAGGGGAGCGAACGGG